Molecule: small nucleolar RNA, 87 nt
Organism: Telopea speciosissima
Lineage: Eukaryota; Viridiplantae; Streptophyta; Magnoliopsida; Proteales; Proteaceae
Source: RefSeq, a predicted model, not a curated record
CAGCGUGAUGAUAAACAGGGGAUGCUGCUCCAGAUGCAGAUUGGGAAGAAAAAGAUGUCGCAAAGGAUCUAGCUGUCGUGUCUGGGA